GGUGGCUCUGUGGUAGAGCGCUUGCCUUGAAUGCAUGAGGCCCUGGUUCGAUUCCUCAGCACCA
This 64-nucleotide transfer RNA is filed under the name Dipodomys ordii (Ord's kangaroo rat). It matches the Rfam family "tRNA". Rfam says of the family: Transfer RNA (tRNA) molecules are approximately 80 nucleotides in length. Their secondary structure includes four short double-helical elements and three loops (D, anti-codon, and T loops). Further hydrogen bonds mediate the characteristic L-shaped molecular structure. tRNAs have two regions of fundamental functional importance: the anti-codon, which is responsible for specific mRNA codon recognition, and the 3' end, to which the tRNAs corresponding amino acid is attached (by aminoacyl-tRNA synthetases). tRNAs cope with the degeneracy of the genetic code in two manners: having more than one tRNA (with a specific anti-codon) for a particular amino acid; and 'wobble' base-pairing, i.e. permitting non-standard base-pairing at the 3rd anti-codon position. Lineage: Eukaryota; Metazoa; Chordata; Mammalia; Rodentia; Heteromyidae. The record is from Rfam by way of RNAcentral.